Long non-coding RNA from Haliotis rubra (blacklip abalone), 1210 nucleotides. RefSeq lists it as uncharacterized. The record is from RefSeq and is a predicted model, not a curated record. NCBI's taxonomy places the organism in Eukaryota, Metazoa, Mollusca, Gastropoda, Lepetellida, Haliotidae. The transcript is spliced from 2 exons.
GACUUUCAGUUUGUGAGAACUAUCUUAUAGCCAGGCACAAUACCUUUUGGGAGAUGUCAUCAGAGACAGUUAUGAAUGUGAUGAUGAAAAUGUUGACCGUGGUAUGUAAAACCCCAACUUGAAAUCUCUCUACGUGAUAUAUUCAGUUUAAAACAAUGUCCAUUGUUCUGUAUUGACAUAAUGCAUUGUUGAAUCUUGUUUUCCAUCUAGGCUUGCUCAUAUAUGCAUGCAGUGCUAACAGCUUAUCACAUGUUGGCUCAUGUUGGUUGUCGGCUCUUGUUGAUCGUUGGCUCAUGUUGGUCGUUGGCUCAUGUUGUUGUAGGUCGUUCUGGUCAUUGGCUCAUGUUGGAUGUUGGCUCACGUUGGUCAGUUACUCAUGCUGGUUGCUGGUCAUGUUGGUCGUUGGCUGAAGCAGGUAGUUGGCUCAUGUUGGUCAUUGCCUCCAGCUGGUCAUCGGCUCAUGUUUGUCGUAGGUCAUAUUGGUCAUCAGCUCAUGUUUAUCUACAUUCUCAUAGUACCAGUGGGGACAAUGAGCCAACCUGUGUAUGUCUUAAGUACAUCCGGUGCCCACCCUUCCAGAAAUCUUACCUUGGUAGUGGGUCUGUUUUAUUGAAGGUCACAUAUGUGAAGAGAAAUAUAAUCUGCCUGAUUAUUGUAUGGACUCAAAACCAAUUAAAUAAAUCAAUAUUAUGUUGUGUUAAACCAGUGAAAUAGACAGCCAGACAUUAGGCUAUUUAUGUUUGCACUUUAAAAGGAGAUCGAAUUAUUUCUCUGUUCAUUUAUGCACAGAUGCACCUAAUAAAUUACGUUUGCCAUUUUUUCAGAAAUAUUCAACUAUUUAGUCAGUGUAAGCUGUUUUAUUGUUGAUUUUGUUGCAUUAAUUUAUUAUUUUGGGUUGUUUUGUUUGUUUUGUGAUGUUGCUUUAACUGUCAUUGAAAUGUAUUGAUACGUUUGGUACAGAGCAAAGGGGUCAAGUUCAACUUAUUUGAUUGCUUACGCUGGACCUUUUUUUAUGUUUGAAUCAUUUUGUUUCGUGUGUGAAAUGCCCAUGAUAGUCAAGGUAUUCUGUGGUAAGGGUUUGCCAGUAUAAAAUAGAAGGAGGUUAUAUUGACUGUAUCCUGAAGGACAGACGUUGACCGUGAUGCAGGGUGUACAAUUAAUUGGACUAAUACAGGAACAGAAAAAAGCAAUAAAAUGUAUAUGUUGACAA